Molecule: ribosomal RNA, 1376 nt
Filed under: gut metagenome
Description: bacterial LSU rRNA
Rfam family: Bacterial large subunit ribosomal RNA
Source: RNAcentral
AGGAGUGGUAGAGGAGCAUUGUUAGCGCAGCGAAGCUGUACCGAUAAGGAGCAGUGGAGUGCUAAGAAGAGAGAAUGCCGGAAUGAGUAGCGAGAGGAAGGUGAGAAUCCUUCCGGCCGAAUAUCCAAGGUUUCCAGAGUAAAGCUGAUCUGCUCUGGGUAAGUCGGGGCCUAAGGCGAGGUCGAAAGACGUAGUCGAUGGAUAACAGGUGGAGAUUCCUGUACUAUGUGUACCCAGAACUGUGGGGACGCAUGUGGAGAGCAUGAGCCGGGAAAGAGAAAACCGGUACAAGCGGGGUAGGAGUAAGGACAGCAAAUCUUCCUUACAAUCCGAAGACGUGAUGUGGACCGAACCAAAGUAGGGAAGCAUGUGAGCCAUGUGCCAAGAAAAGCCGCUAUUGUGAUACACAUACCCGUACCGUAAACCGACACAGGUGGAUGAGGAGAGAAUCCUAAGGCCGACGGAAGAAGCAUUGUUAAGGAACUCGGCAAAAUGACCCCGUAACUUCGGGAGAAGGGGUGCCCUGUGAAAGCAGGGCCGCAGAGAAUAGGCUCAAGCAACUGUUUAGCAAAAACACAGGUCUAUGCGAAACCGAAAGGUGAGGUAUAUGGGCUGACGCCUGCCCGGUGCUGGAAGGUUAAGAGGAGAAGUCAGGCAACGAAGCUUCGAAUUUAAGCCCCAGUAAACGGCGGCCGUAACUAUAACGGUCCUAAGGUAGCGAAAUUCCUUGUCGGGUAAGUUCCGACCCGCACGAAAGGCGUAAUGAUUUGAGCACUGUCUCGACAAUGCAUCCGGUGAAAUUGAAGUACCAGUGAAGAUGCUGGUUACCUGCGCCAGGACGGAAAGACCCCAUGGAGCUUUACUCCAGCUUGAUACUGGGAUUCGAUACUGUAUGUACAGGAUAGGUGGGAGACGUUGAACAUAGAACGCCAGUUUUAUGUGAGUCGCUGUUGGGAUACCACCCUUGCAGUAUUGGAUUUCUAACCUGCACCCAUGACCUGGGUGGGGGACAAUGUCUGGCGGGGAGUUUGACUGGGGCGGUCGCCUCCGAAAGGGUAUCGGAGGCGCUCAAAGGUUCCCUCAGAAUGGUUGGAAACCAUUCGAAGAGUGCAAAGGCAGAAGGGAGCUUGACUGUGACACCGACGGGUGGAACAGGUACGAAAGUAGGACUUAGUGAUCCGGUGGUAUAAAGUGGGAUUGCCAUCGCUCAACGGAUAAAAGCUACCCUGGGGAUAACAGGCUUAUCACUCCCAAGAGUUCACAUCGACGGAGUGGUUUGGCACCUCGAUGUCGGCUCAUCGCAUCCUGGGGCUGUAGCAGGUCCCAAGGGUUGGGCUGUUCGCCCAUUAAAGCGGUACGCGAGCUGGGUUCAGAAC